This 1306-nucleotide long non-coding RNA is filed under the name Sus scrofa (pig). RNAcentral's name for it is "lncRNA (ENSSSCG00055030015.1)". The record is from RNAcentral. Lineage: Eukaryota; Metazoa; Chordata; Mammalia; Artiodactyla; Suidae.
AGCUACAGUCUCCGCCUGGCGUCCCGGUGUCCUCCGCCAGCGGCCUCGUACAUCACCAGGCAGUGUAGGAAUGUCAAGGCCACAGCGGCAGCCCAGUUCCAGGGAUCCCUCUUCAAAGAGUAGGUGCUUCACCUGCUCCCUGACAGCACCUGAAGUGACCUGGAAUCAGUGAAGCCAAAGGGACUGGCCUUCUGCCCUGCAGGGAGUACCGACCGACCUAUCCGGAUCCAUGAGCCUGCGAGAGAGGGAGGGAGUGUGUGUGCGCGUGUGCGCGUGCGUGUGUGGUCUUCAGACGAGGGUCCCAAACCCCAGGGAGGCAGGAAGGCAGCUGACUCCACACGGCGGCGGCGGGUGACACUGGGUGCAGCCCCCUGGGACCGCGAUCUGCCUCUCAGCCUUCCUGCCAGGAUGGGGCCCCUCCUACUAUGCAAUUUUUCAAGAGCUCCUUGAUCCUGCUUUUCGCUUCUCCCGUUGUCUCUUGCCACGUCAGGGACCUGGGUCUGGCCCAGGGGUCAGCUCCAGCCCGGUCGGAGGAAGGAAGGGCUAGGGGGGCGGGGCGGGGGGAGGCCCAGGUCCCCUUCCAGCCGGCCCGGCCCCGCCCUCCCUCGCCCCCCCGACGUCUCUGGGAAUCCACUGCCUGCAGACACGUCGGAGCCUCGCUGAUCGGCCCCCGCGGCCGGUGCUUGGAAGCCUUCCUCCUUUGCCUGAGCCAUCUGAGCCGCUGGCUCUUGAGUCGUGUCCAGAUUUGCCCUUCAGUCCGUCCGCCUGAGCCCCGGGCGAAGGUGUCCUCGCCUCGUUUCUUAGAUGGGGCCCCUCCCUCGGGAGAGGCGGGGUCGGGAUGCCCGGCUGGGGGCCCCCGGGGAGACCUCCCCUGCGGGGCAGGUUGCGGGGGUGGGCUUCCUUGCCUCACUUGGUGGGACCAUCCGCACCUUUCGUGUCUGAGCUUCUCAAACUGGCUGAAAAGGGAAGCCAACCAACCAGACAGAAAUUGGGAAAAGAAAACUAAGUUGGAGGAUGCAAAAGCCUGGGGGGGGGGGAAUAAAAGAUUUCCGGAAGCCGUCCAUCGCCUGCCAGGGAGCAGCGGAGUUGGCCGCGACUCUGGCGGAACAGUCCAUGUUUCGGAGAAACGGGUGAGCUAAGCUAGGAGUUGGGACCCAGUUCAGUGAGGGUCUUGGGUUUUGUGCCUUUGGGGCAGACCCCAGACAGGGAUGUCUGAGUCCACUUUGGCGCUGUUUUCUCAGCCCCCUUUGCAGUGGGGAGACGUCACACCCAAAGUGGAGGGAGGGAAGUGGUACCAGAGGUCGUG